This 497-nucleotide ribosomal RNA is filed under the name uncultured bacterium. RNAcentral describes it as "partial 16S ribosomal RNA". It matches the Rfam family "Bacterial small subunit ribosomal RNA", at positions 28 to 507 of the family's 1533-position model. The record is from RNAcentral.
GAUGAACGCUGGCGGCGUGCCUAAUACAUGCCAGUCGAGCGAACAGACGAGGAGCUUGCUCCUCUGACGUUAGCGGCGGACGGGUGAGUAACACGUGGAUAACCUACCUAUAAGACUGGGAUAACUUCGGGAAACCGGAGCUAAUACCGGAUAAUAUAUUGAACCGCAUGGUUCAAUAGUGAAAGACGGUUUUGCUGUCACUUAUAGAUGGAUCCGCGCCGCGUUAGCUAGUUGGUAAGGUAACGGCUUACCAAGGCAACGAUGCGUAGCCGACCUGAGAGGGUGAUCGGCCACACUGGAACUGAGACACGGUCCAGACUCCUACGGGAGGCAGCAGUAGGGAAUCUUCCGCAAUGGGCGAAAGCUUGACGGAGCAACGCCGCGUGAGUGAUGAAGGUCUUCGGAUCGUAAAACUCUGUUAUUAGGGAAGAACAAAUGUGUAAGUAACUAUGCACGUCUUGACGGUACCUAAUCAGAAAGCCACGGCUAACUACGUG